UUGCAUGUUUUGGUUAUUGGAGUUAAUGUCUGAAUUUUAUUUUCACUUAAUUUUAUGUUUUCAGGGAUACAGGAAUAGAAUUAAAAAUGCCCCCAAAAAGUUGCUUCUGGGAAUUUUUUGAAAAACUUGAAAAUAACGAAGCCAAAUGUCGAUCUUGCCAUAAAUUCAUAAAAACUUGUGGCAACACUAAAAAUCUAAAGUUACACAUUGAAAAAAUGCAUAGCUCAUUAUUAGGGAAACAUAGCAACGACGAGAACACAGUUCAUAAAACAGGCGCAAAGAAAUUACGUAAGGAGACUGAAUUUAGUAGCUCAAAAAUCGAUUGCAAAAACAAAGCAAUUACCAGAAUUGAUUGCAUCUGUUAAAAGGAUUGUCACCUGGUUCAAGCAGAGUGUUGUGGCGAGUGAUGAAUUACGAAAGGAUUCUGAUCUAAACAAUACAAGAUGUCAGCAAUCGCUGGAAUUCCACCUUUUAUAUGGUGGAAAGAUUUUUACAUCUGUGACCAACGAUUAAACAAAUUGUUAAUUGCCAUACAAGUGCUCCUCCAAUGAUAACUGCAAAAGGUAUUGAAGAGUUAACUGAAAUCUUUGAGAUUUUACGCCCUAUAGAAGUUGCUACUAAAGAAAUAUGUGGAGAAGACUAUGUUACUAGCAGCAAAGUCAUUCCCAUAGUACGAAUGCUAAAUUAAAAAAUGAAUAACAUCAAAACAAACAGUUCUUUGGGUCAGGAUCUUUACCAGAGCAUAAUAUCUGAAAUCAGUAAAUGCUUUUUACCCUCUGAACAUGUUCAAAUACUUGCUGUAUCUACAUUGCUAGACCCAAGAUUUAAAAACAUUCAUUUUCAAGAUCCCAUAGCAUGUUCAAAAGCAAUUAAAUGUGUCAAAGAAUAACUAAAUACUACGACGGAAACAGAAGUAAUUGAAGAAGUUAUUAGUUGUUCGCCAGAUACAACAGAAGAAUUUAAUUUGUGGAGCGAACAUUAUAAACUUGUAGAUGACAAAAACUCUACGCCUUUGUCUAGUGAUCACGAAAUGCCUUCAGAGAUGAGUUACUUUUUGAAAUAUCCAGUGUCUGAUCUUUAACAAGAUCCUCUCCAAGUUUGGAAUAAUGUCAUCGGUUCCACUUACCCGAAAUUAAAAAAAAUAGCGGUAAAAUAUUUGAGUACUAUCGCGACAUCAACACCACCCGAAAGACUGUUUUCAAAAGCUGGUUCUACUCUUUAUCAACAAAGAAACCGAUUAAAAGGUUCUUCUUUAUCAAAAUUACUUUUUCUUUAGUCAAUUAAUAAAAAAUAUUGGGAUUUGUAAUAAUUUGAUCUGUUGCUUAAUAAAUUUCGAACUUAUAGAUUGUGUCCAACAUCGAUGUCAACAUCGAUGUUUUUUGAAUAUCGAUCAUCCCUACCUCAGAUACCAACGCAUUGAGAUUUUACAACUGUUUAUACACAUACGUACACACCAUAGAUACUCUCCCUACAAGAAUUGAAUGAUAGAAACUAACACAAUAGCAAUUUUCUCUCUGAGCUCUUGGAAGGUUAUAAUUGGGAUGGCAGGUGGAGCAAGAAAUUCCUAUGCAAGUUGGCGCUGGUUGAUACCAUUUUAAGAAAUGUGUUUCAACAACAAGGGUGUAGGAGUUUCGAGCAAAAUAUAAAGCGGUCAAUACUGCUCAGCCAUCACAGGUUAAAGCACCGUAGUUAAUU
RNAcentral lists this long non-coding RNA (1695 nucleotides) under Bactrocera tryoni. RNAcentral's name for it is "uncharacterized LOC120779683". The record is from RNAcentral. Lineage: Eukaryota; Metazoa; Arthropoda; Insecta; Diptera; Tephritidae.